AACGAACGCUGGCGGCAUGCCUAACACAUGCAAGUCGAACGAGGCCUUCGGGUCUAGUGGCGCACGGGUGCAUAACGCGUGGGAACCUGCCCUUAGGUUCGGAAUAACUCCCCGAAAGGGGUGCUAAUACCGGAUAAUGUCUUCGGACCAAAGAUUUAUCGCCUUUGGAUGGGCCCGCGUUGGAUUAGCUAGUUGGUAGGGUAAAAGCCUACCAAGGCGACGAUCCAUAGCUGGUCUGAGAGGAUGAUCAGCCACACUGGGACUGAGACACGGCCCAGACUCCUACGGGAGGCAGCAGUGGGGAAUAUUGGACAAUGGGCGAAAGCCUGAUCCAGCAAUGCCGCGUGAGUGAUGAAGGCCUUAGGGUUGUAAAGCUCUUUUACCCGGGAUGAUAAUGACAGUACCGGGAGAAUAAGCUCCGGCUAACUCCGUG
Molecule: ribosomal RNA, 433 nt
Filed under: uncultured bacterium
Lineage: Bacteria
Description: partial 16S ribosomal RNA
Rfam family: Bacterial small subunit ribosomal RNA
Source: RNAcentral